Molecule: ribosomal RNA, 151 nt
Filed under: Trichoderma neokoningii
Lineage: Eukaryota; Fungi; Ascomycota; Sordariomycetes; Hypocreales; Hypocreaceae
Also listed under: 3 other names
Description: 5.8S ribosomal RNA
Rfam family: 5.8S ribosomal RNA
About the family: 5.8S ribosomal RNA (5.8S rRNA) is a component of the large subunit of the eukaryotic ribosome.
Source: RNAcentral
AAACUUUCAACAACGGAUCUCUUGGUUCUGGCAUCGAUGAAGAACGCAGCGAAAUGCGAUAAGUAAUGUGAAUUGCAGAAUUCAGUGAAUCAUCGAAUCUUUGAACGCACAUUGCGCCCGCCAGUAUUCUGGCGGGCAUGCCUGUCCGAGC